ACCCGCUGAACUUAAGCAUAUCAAUAAGCGGAGGAAAAGAAACUAACAAGGAUUCCCCUAGUAACUGCGAGUGAAGCGGGAAAAGCUCAAAUUUGAAAUCUGGCGGUUCUUGACCGUCCGAGUUGUAAUCUAGAGAAGUGUUACCUGUGCUGGACCGUGUACAAGUCUUCUGGAAUGGAGCAUCAUAGAGGGUGAGAAUCCCGUCUUUGACACGGACUACCUGUACAUUGUGGUGCGCUCUCGAAGAGUCGAGUUGUUUGGGAAUGCAGCUCAAAAUGGGUGGUAAAUGCCAUCUAAAGCUAAAUAUUGGCGAGAGACCGAUAGCGAACAAGUACCGUGAGGGAAAGAUGAAAAGAACUUUGGAAAGAGAGUUAAACAGUACGUGAAAUUGCUGAAAGGGAAACGCUUGAAGUCAGUCGCGUCGGCUAGAAAUCAACCUUGCUUUUGCUUGGUGUAUUUUCUGGUCUUUGACGGGUCAGCAUCAAUUUUGACCGCUGGAUAAAGUCUUUGGGAAUGUGGCAUCUUAGGAUGUGUUAUAGCCCAUUGUCGCAUACUGCGGUUGGGAUUGAGGAACUCAGCACGCCGCAAGGCCAGGUUUCGACCAUGUUUUGUGCUUAGGAUGCUGGCAUAAUGGCUUUAAUCGACCCGUCUUGAAACACGGACCAAGGAGUCUAACAUGCCUGCGAGUGUUUGGGUGGAAAACCCAUUCGCGCAAUGAAAGUGAAAGUUGAGAUCCCCUUCAAACAGGGAGCAUUGACGCCCGGACCAGACCUUUUGUGACGGAUCCGCGGUAGAGCAUGUAUGUUGGGACCCGAAAGAUGGUGAACUAUGCCUGAAUAGGGUGAAGCCAGAGAAACUCUGGAGGCUCGUAGCGAUUCUGACGUGCAAAUCGAUCGUCAAAUUUGGGUAUAGGGGCGAAAGACUAAUCGAACCAUCUAGUAGCUGGUUCCUGCCGAAGUUUCCCUCAGGA
RNAcentral lists this ribosomal RNA (970 nucleotides) under Inocybe praecox. RNAcentral describes it as "LSU rRNA". It matches the Rfam family "Eukaryotic large subunit ribosomal RNA", at positions 23 to 978 of the family's 3401-position model. The record is from RNAcentral. Lineage: Eukaryota; Fungi; Basidiomycota; Agaricomycetes; Agaricales; Inocybaceae.